AUUUUUUUGUGCUUGUUUUCAACUUAAUUGUUAAGAGGUGUACAAAUUUUGAGUUAAAAUAAAUAGUUCAUUCAUUAGUUAUUGAGAUCUAAAUUUGUUGUAUGAAUUACUUAGAAUUGUUUAUGGUUUGGUUAGGAUUUGUUUAAGAUUUGAUUAGGAUUCAAUUAGGAUUUUAUUAGGAUUUGUUUAUAAUUUGAUUAGGACUUAUUUAAGGUUUGUCUAGGAUUUAUUUAAAAUUUGAUUAGGAUUUGAUUAAGGCUUGACUAGGAUUUGUAUAAGAUUUGGUUAAGAUUUAUUUAGAGUUUGAUUAGGAUUUGACUAGGGCUUGUAUAGGAUUUGUUUAGGAUUUUUUUUUAGAAUUUGAUUAGGAUUCAAUGAGGAUUUUAGUAGGAUUUGUUUAGGAUUUAGUUAGGAUUUGGUUAGGAUUUGAUUAGGAUUUGUCUAGGAUUUUUCUAAGAUUUGGUUAGGAUUUGUUUAGGAUUUGCUUAAGGUUUGAUUAGGAUUUAUUUAGGAUUUGUUUAGAAUUUGGUUAGGGCUUAUUUAGGAUUUGACUAAGUUUUGACUUGAUUUUGACUAGAAUUUAAUUAAUAUUUUUAUUAUAAUCUUUUAUUAAGAUUUCUAUUUUAAUCUAUAUUUUUUUGAAUUUCUAUGUUAUUUUUUUAUGAAUUCUUAAAAGGACCUCUAAGAAUUCUUUGUAUUUCUUGUAUAAUUCCUUUGAAAUUUUAGUUGAAUUUGAUUGAUGUUUGAUUAUAUUUGCUACUCUUU
Molecule: long non-coding RNA, 765 nt
Filed under: Physcomitrium patens
Lineage: Eukaryota; Viridiplantae; Streptophyta; Bryopsida; Funariales; Funariaceae
Description: long non-coding RNA (PPAT_LNC009782)
Source: RNAcentral